This is a long non-coding RNA of Passer domesticus (house sparrow), 2354 nucleotides long. RefSeq lists it as uncharacterized. The record is from RefSeq and is a predicted model, not a curated record. The transcript is spliced from 4 exons. Lineage: Eukaryota; Metazoa; Chordata; Aves; Passeriformes; Passeridae.
UGCCUUAGAAGGUGAUGAAUGGAGAUGCAUGACAUAAUGAACUGAGAAGAAAGAUGAGGAGAAAUGGAAUUGCCAUAAAUGUUCGUGGCCUCCAGGAGCUUGAGAGUGCUGAGCCAGCUGUAACCAGAAACCAGAGCAGAGGGGGCAGGUGGCAUCUGAAACCUGGAAGCAGUGCAGAUGAGUCAUAAAGGUGAUGAAGACAAUGCAGGGGAUGAAGACUGAACCAAGUUUGAAUCAGUGAACUCAUUGAGAAUCAUGAGCACAAGCCCGAGAGCUUCCUCCUGUUCAUCAUUACCUGGAUGUUGCUGCAGGCUCUCUUGUCUCAUUUGCCCUCUGCCUCACACUGGAGUGACGUUGGUGACAUGACUGAUCCUCUGAACUGUACACAGAGUUGUUUCCCUUGCAGGCAUUGGGCAAGAAUUCAUAACAAUUAAAGAAAGCUCUAGUACAGAUUAGAUUGAAGCCAACGAUAGCUAAAUUGUUUCAUCUUUCUAACUGAUGUGUUUGUGGUUUGCCUGCAAACUCAACCUAUAAAAAUGAGACACAAAGAUGUUCUCACACCUUAGCACAACCCCCCUGCCAAAACAUCAUGACUCAGGAUAGCCAAGGACAUUUAUUAUAGCAAAAUGAAUUGUCAGAACAGGCUGAACUUCAGUUCUUGUUGAGUGUUUGUGCCCUGAUGAAGUAAAACAUUUCAGGAAUAAUUUGAAUCAUUGCCUGGAUGACUGUUGGCACAGGGUUUCCCCAAAUCCAUUCUCAUGCCUAACAUAGAAUAUGCCAUGGUCAAAGACACCUUCCAUUAAAUCAGGCUGUUCAAAGCCCCAUCCAGUCCCACCUUGGACUCAAGGUGUCAUGGUAGUAAAAUAGCAGUGCUGCAUGCUUCAUCAUCGGCUAACAACUUCAUAACCUCCCUGGCCAGUAAUGAAAAAAUGGAGUAAAAGUCUUUGGAACCUGACUGUGAUUUUGUCUGAUAUAGAAGAAAAGUUAAUGACAGCCAAAAGAGCCAGAAUCAAUAGAGUAAGGGCUAAAGGCUGUAUAAUAAGGGGAAAGUUACACUGAGACAGCAGAAAGUUACCUUUUUUGGGAGCUGUCUUGGUCAAAACCCAAACAUAAAAAGAAUAAAUGAAUACUGCAGGUGGGAGGGCUGAUGCUCUGAUAUAAUAAAAUUUUAUCAUGUCCAGAGCUGCCAUUGUCAGCAUGUAGAGUGAAGAGAUUGAUUUACAUCCAGUGAAUUCACUAGCAACCUAAUAAUAACAUAUGUUUUCCAAAUAGGCCACUCUGGAAAACCUGGCUUUAUUAUAAUUAUAUGUGCCUGUUAGACCUACCAGCAUCUUGGAUCACAGGCUGUACUCAUAAAUUAUAUUAUAUUGCUGAUUUUAUAUAUAUAUUGUGAUUGCAAUUUAUGUGUCAGUUUAUAUUUAUUCCCCUGCUUGACAUUAUUCCUCACAAUGAGAAAGAUUUAUAUUUUUUCCAGCAUUAUUUUGACCUUAAUAAAGAGUGUCUUACUACAAAGUGAAUUAUGAGUAUAUGGACCUCUUGGCAAAGCUGGUCUUCAGAGAAGUCUGAUGGAAAUUUUUCAGGUGCCCCCAUCUUUUGGAUUUUUCACUUUCUGAGUUGAACACGGAGGGAAAACCACACAGCUCAGACCUCAUGGCCAAAGCAGUGUCAGAAAAGACACCUUUAAGGAGCUUAAGUGUCUGUGGAAUUGCCAUCCCCAGAGGUUCAGGGCUCAACUCUUUCUGGAUUAGUUCUCUAGACCAAAGCAAUGCCCACCCCAGCCUUGCUUCCACAAACUUGUCUACCUCCCAUUUGUUUCUGAUGGUGUUUCCAGCAACAAGGUCUACAGUUCCUUAGAGAAAUUCUUCACUCUGGUAUCCUGGGAUUUCAGGAUUUUUUACUGUUACUGGCACUUUUAAGGGAAUUGAAAAACUUAGUCACUGAUGGUGAUUCUUCUCAUUAACUUAAUCCAUUCAAAAUCCUCUCUUUUUAUAUGAGGGAGUUUGCAUCCUGACUGUUGAAGAUUACUUAGUCCAGGCAACAUCCUCAGAGCCUGCAUUUGGAGGUGUUGAGUGCUACAACCUGAAGCCUGUGGAAAAUUCCGCAAGGUCAAUUAACUUAAACAAGGUCUAUGAAAAUUGGCUUUAAGUGUGCCACAACAGGCUGAAACUAAAAGAAAAAACAGAUCUGAAAAAAAGGGAAAAAUAUAUUUCGUUAGGGUACUUUUUAAUUUAAUUCUAGCAGGGAUAUAAUACACAGAGAAAUAAAUUCCACAGGUCUACUCAGCUACUUAAGUUACAAGUCUACUAAGUUACUUAAGAAUUUCUAAUGUCUCCCUUCUCUUAGCAAGGAAAUAC